This is a long non-coding RNA of Oncorhynchus tshawytscha (Chinook salmon), 3291 nucleotides long. The record is from Ensembl. Lineage: Eukaryota; Metazoa; Chordata; Actinopteri; Salmoniformes; Salmonidae.
GAAAUAACUCAAUCUGUAACUGCAUCUAAAAUAGGAAGAGGUAGCAGUGUUGCCAUGCAAGGUUUCCUCUGCGUCUCUUCGUUCCUUCUAAUAUGUCAACAUGAUUCAUUUGUAUCAAAAUGUCACAAUUAUUCACAAUAUUUCAAUUUUUCAUCAACUGUUUCAAAAUAAAUCUUAUUUUUAACUGUUUUAACAAUUGUCUUCUGAUUUUUUAAAACAUUAUUCACAUUGGCCUGUAUGUUAAUGCCAGCUGAAGAACUGAACCACCUGCGUUAGAAGGUAAGUGAAUUACAUGAUUUUUACGAGCAGAUACUAUAUGUUGUUGAAGGUUGAUGUAAUGGUUAUCAAUAUUGUUCAGUGAGUAUCUUUGAUUAUUGAAGUCCUUAUUGUUUAACUUUAUUUGUUCUUCUGCUUAAACAACACAGUUGUAUGGUUUUCCUAUCAUGGAAUAAUCACUACAUCGUGUUUGUCUGUGCUUGAUCACUUCUCUACUGAAGUGUGUGUGUAUGAGUGGUUUUGAUUACAGUAUACCUGCAGUUUGUCCCCUUUUGGGGCAUAGAUGGAUAACAUCCCUUUAAUUUAGCUUUACAAUGCUUUAUUUGUCCUUACAUUAUAUUUGACACAAUUAUAGUGUUGCAUGUGACUUUUAUGUACAGGCCUACUCUAUGCUACUAGACUAAAGUCCAUCGUGUCAUUUGAGAGAGCAUAAACCACCUCUUAACUUUUCAGGAAGUGUUAACGUGCACGUCUGUCUGCUUCUGCCCAUGUUGUGCUGUUAGCUAUUGGAAACGGAGAAUUAUCAAAAUAAUAUAAAUGUAAGUUCAACAUAAUUAUUUUACAAGGCACAGUUGAUUUAAGAUGCAUGUGUGAUCGCUAUCAAAUGUAAUUCCUGUGUUACUGGUUCCUUCGCUUCCUUGUUACGACGUACAUAAUGUCUUUAUGAACGAUGAAGUCCUAUCGCUGUCUUUAUUCAUUCUGUAACUCAUUCUAAGCUCGUCUAUAACGUGGAUGGUGAUAAUGACGAUGACAGAGGCAUAGUAAUAUUCUAUAAAUUGUGUAUGAUUGUGAAUGGUAUGGGACACUUUAAGUGUAUAAACCAUGGUGACCUAAUUUAACCUGCACCAUAAUUUAACCUGCGUUAAUGUCUUUCAAUGCAAGACAGCUAAAGAACAGCGCGUGAGAGGGAAUCUCUGAGAGACGACAUUAAAACAAAGUUUACUCACCUGUGCAAUGGCGAGUGAACUCUCCCCAAAUGUUUAUGGGGGUCCUCCUCCCCAGUCAGAUCUUAGACUCCUGCUGCUUGGGAGAGUCGGAGCUGGGAAAAGUACAGUAGGCAAAACCAUCCUGGGCAGCGAUAACUUCUGGAGUGAAGGAGGCAUGUGUGUGAAGAAGCAGGGUGGAAGGACCGUCACCGUGGUGGACACCCCGGGCUGGGACACUGUGAAGUACACGUCCACAUACAUCAAACAAGAAAUUAAGAAGUGUGACCCCAUGCCCUUCUUCUGGUGGUGCCCAUGGGCGACCCGCUCUCCUCCGCAGAAAGAAAGGCGAUUCGGUAUCACAUGGCGCUAUUGUCAGUUAGGGCAUGGAAGUUUACCAUGGUCUUGUUUGUCAGUGAGGCUGAGGAGAAAUGCACAUCCAUUGAACAAAAUCAGAUGAUCGGCAGAGCAAAAAGUAUUCUAGCGAAAUGUGGACACAGACACCAUCUCCUUGAGUGUGGCAAUUCUCCUCCCCAGAUUUCUGAGCUCCUGAUAAAGCUAGACGCCAUGGUAGCAGAAAACUGUGAAGAAUUCUUAAUCCCCCAAGUAUAUGAUGAACUGAUGGAGACUACAAUGCCAAGUGAAGUGACCGAGCUGAGAAGGAUGUAUGAAGACCGAGAGGACAGACUGAAACGGAAAUACAAAACAGAGUUGAAGGAAAAGGAAGAAGAGCUGAAGAAGUACAGAGAAGAAGAGAAGCCUAAAGAAAGGUUGAUGAAGAGGACAAGUAGCAGUCAACUACUCCCCCCCCCCACGCCCCCCCACCCCCCCCAGUAUAAGCACAGAGAAGAGGACGGGUCGGUAAUGGCUGACCAUCAGAAGGUGGACCUACAGGCCGUCAAGCAAGGAUACAGGGAAGAGGCCUUGUCUGUGGUGGGCCACUACGUCAAACCACUAAUAGUGAUUAUGACUGCUGUAGUGGGGGCACUCAUGGGAGCAGUUGCAGGUGCAGAACAUGGAACACUUGGCGCAUGUACUGGAAUUCCUAUAGGCAUUAUUUUGGCAGUUCUUGUGAGUUAUGCUGUCCGUGGAGCCGACACAGCAGCAAGGGAUAUUUCCAUCGCAGUCAAAGCCGAGGGAAAUGAAAGUCAGAGGAGAGAAGAGGGAGCAGGCUUCUUCUUAGAUUCUACAAAAUCUGAAAGAUUUGAUAAGGAUCAGUGACACUCUUUUGAAUGUCAACACUAUUCUAUUGCUACAGUGUGUAGUGUAUGGACUGUGCUGUAUGGACUGUGCUGUAUGGACUGUGCUGUAUGGACUCUCAUGGUUCACCUGACUUGACUGGCUGACCCCAGUGAAGAGACAGGACAGACUGCCCAGCAAACCGGGAACAUACCCAGAACAUAAGAAAGGGUUUUUAUACAAAAUUAGGACGUUCUCCUAACAUUCACAAAAACGCACAACAUCUGUAACAACCACCAUUCCCCAAACAACAUUCUCGUUAUGUUUCCUGGUAAUGUAAUAACACAAUGUACCAGCAAUGUUUUUUGAACAUACUGUUGCAACAAAAUGUAUACGCAAUGUUCUGGGAACGUUCUUGCAACAUCAGGCAAAUGUUUAUACAAACAUUGUAUAAUCAUCAGCACGACGGGACAGUUUUUGUGUUAUGAUAACAUUUACCGCAACCUAACAAAUGUUCUGGGAGUUUUCAGAGAAACAAUUUUGGUUUGUUAGACGCUCUUUCUCUCUCGCUCUCUCUCUCUCGCUCUCUCUCUCGCCCUCUCUCUCUCUCGCCCUCUCUCUCUCGCCCUCUCUCUCUCUCUCUCGCUCUCUCUCUCGCCCUCUCUCUCUCGCCCUCUCGCUCUCUCUCUCGCCCUGUUAUGAUAACAUUUGCCGCACCUAACAAAUGUUCUGGGAGUUUUCAGAGAAACAAUUUUGGUUUGUUAGACGCUCUUUCUCUCUCGCCCUCUCUCUCUCGCUCUCUCUCUCGCCCUCUCUCGCCUCUCUCGCUCUCUCUCUCUCGCCCUCUCUCUCUCGCCCUCUCUCUCUCGCCCUCUCUCUCUCGCUCUCUCUCUCGCCCUCUCUCGCCCUCUCC